This 253-nucleotide ribosomal RNA is filed under the name uncultured bacterium. Its description in RNAcentral is "partial 16S ribosomal RNA". It matches the Rfam family "Bacterial small subunit ribosomal RNA", at positions 524 to 776 of the family's 1533-position model. The record is from RNAcentral.
CACGUAGGGCGCAAGCGUUGUCCGGAAUUAUUGGGCGUAAAGAGCUCGUAGGCGGUCUGUUGCGUCCGCUGUGAAAACUCGGGGCUUAACCCCGAGCCUGCAGUGGAUACGGGCAGACUAGAGUGAUGUAGGGGAGACUGGAAUUCCUGGUGUAGCGGUGAAAUGCGCAGAUAUCAGGAGGAACACCGAUGGCGAAGGCAGGUCUCUGGGCAUUAACUGACGCUGAGGAGCGAAAGCAUGGGGAGCGAACAGG